UAGUAUUUAGGACCACCCACAUCCAUCUGCUUCAUUCUCCUCGCCUCGCCUCGCCUCGCCGCUCUUCUCCUCAUCUCCAGCUCCAACCAACCUUUGUUGUCUUGUCCCGUCUGCCAGCCUGCCUGCUUCCCAGAGUUCUUAUUCUCAUCUGAAUUCGUGAUUUCACUUUAUUUGGCUGGCCCCGUCAGUUUCGGCUGCUGUGUUCGUUCUUGAUUUGCCGGCGAGGUCUCCGAUUCGAGGCUUGCUCCUUUUCUUUCUGGCCCAGUUCAUGUGUUUGUUUUAUUUCGGCGUGCCGGUGAUGAUGCAAAAGCAUCGGUGAAUUCUGGAUGAACGCGCUUGCGCACCACCGGUGCGCACAGCUCUGGUGAUAUCCACUGCGUGAUACUCUGAGGCACACAUCCUUUGAAUUCGUGGUUUCAUUUUAUUUGGCUGCAGGUUGAGUUCCGGUUUCGUCUUUCAGUUUCACCAUCCGCGCUGCGUGAGCUUCGGCUGCUGUGUUCGUUCUUGGUCAUGCCGGUGAGAUCUCCCGCUUCGAGGCUUCUUUUUUCGUGGUUUGUUUCCGCGUGCCGAUGAUGAUGCACAAGCACCGGUGAAUUCUGGAUGAUUGCGCUUGCGCACCAUCGCUGCGCACAGCUCUCGUGAUAUCCACUGCCACGGGAAAAAAAUCGGCACCGAGCUGGUUACGGCCGUAAAUGUUACAUUCAGGUUUCAAGAAUGGGCUAGAAGAACCUUCAAAGUUUUCUACCUUCCCGAGAAAAGGCACUCAAACGAUUAGAUUUCCUCCUCCUCCGGUUGGCGCUGCCGCCGGUCCGCCCCGCCUCCAGUCACCUUUCGGCUAUGGAGGUGCGCACGACCUCGCCCCGGCCGGCGGGAGGGACCCGCUCUUUGUUCUUGAUAGAAUGAUAGGUUCAACGUGUUGGUUGGAGCUGAUUCUAAAUAUAAUUUUUUUAGAAGAUUAAAUAAGAUCUUUAAGAUAUCUUAGUAUUUGGAUCAUAUUAGAAAUUGUCAAGCGGCAUUAUGGAGGGACUACAGUUUUGCUCUCCAGUUUUCUCGCGUGAAACAAUUAUAUAAGUUAUAUUUGCAUAUUAUAUUUUCA
Hordeum vulgare subsp. vulgare (domesticated barley) is the source of this 1096-nucleotide long non-coding RNA. RefSeq lists it as uncharacterized. The transcript has 2 exons. The record is from RefSeq and is a predicted model, not a curated record. Lineage: Eukaryota; Viridiplantae; Streptophyta; Magnoliopsida; Poales; Poaceae.